Long non-coding RNA from Dreissena polymorpha, 2249 nucleotides. RefSeq lists it as uncharacterized. The record is from RefSeq and is a predicted model, not a curated record. The transcript has 5 exons. NCBI's taxonomy places the organism in Eukaryota, Metazoa, Mollusca, Bivalvia, Myida, Dreissenidae.
GAUUGCAACUAUCAGCAACCCAUUGGGUUAUAAAGCUGAUAGUUGAAUUAUUGCAACUACCUGUGAUAGUUAAUAAUUCCGCAUUGUAAAAUAAACACGAACAGUUAACAGGUCAUCUUUAUUAAAAUUCGUUUUAAAUGCAUAUUAUCAUAAUAUAAAGAGAUCUGGAGAUAUAGUGCUGUUUAGGGUUUAUCCAAACAAAAUAUAAUUGUGAAGGAAAAUGUCAGAUUACAAGGACAUCAUUCGCAAGCCGGAAACCCUCAACUGGUUUAAGGCGGCCAUGGGUAUGAAUAUUACACGUCACUGCCUGCUCGACAUUGUAAAAGACGCUACUCAGGAAUUGUAUGACACUAUUCGUAAAGAAAUCAAUAGAAAAUACGGUAUCCUGGAGCACGUUGUCUGCAGUCAGUGUCACACUCCAAACGUGCUGCCCUGCGAUACCGAUAAUAAAUGCUGCCAUUAUAAAUAUGGUAGUUGCGCAUUUCAUGACAUUCAUAAGUCUCAACAUUGCCGCGCUAAUUUAUGCAAUGAAAUGUGUAAGGAAAUUGUAUACCAUCACCGAUUUCGCAACCGUUCAAAAUCAAAAAGUUUUCAAGGCCCUACCUGGGAAAACACAGAUGCGCGUAAAUGGUGCGCCGACCCCUGGAAUAUUGCAAAAUGCUAUCUCUCAAAAGACGGAUACAAGGAUGUUAAUAAAGCAGACGAUGCCGAUUUUAAUGGCAUGGUUAAUGUACUUAUAAACUGUGAAUUCUUUCAAAUGUAUUUCAAGGACGACCUGACACAAAAGGAGAAUGUCUGCACCAAGGCUAGAGAUGUGGGUCGUGAAGUACGACAUGCGCCCGCAAUGUCCAUGAUCAGCCAGGAUAGUGACAGAGCCAUCGACACUCUAGUAGCGCUGUUGCAGAGCCUGUAACGUGUAAACCACCAAGUGACGGCGAAGACUGCAGUUGACAAGUUAAAACAGCUGAAGAGUGGAACGCUAGCAAUAACUAAUGAAGAUGUUGCAGCCACCUUUGAGCUCUUGAAACAAAAUUUGAUUACAACAAUUAAAGAGGCUCUUGAAAAAGAAAAGGAUAAACUUGUAAAUGAAAUGGUCGAUGCCUUUACUGAAAAGCUAAGUAAAGUUCUUGAAACAAUACAAAGGAAAGGAGAAGACGUACUUGAAAAGGUAGACGGGAAAAGAGACGAUGCGCUUGACACGCUAGACGGGAAAAAUAUGAUGUGCUUGAAACGAUAGACGGGAAAAGAGAUGAUGUACUUGAAACUAUAGACGGGAAAAUAUAUGAUGUACUUGAAACGAUAGACGGAAAAAGAGAUGAUGUACUUGAAACAAUACGGAGGCAAAAACAUCAAGUGCUGAAAAAAAAGGCAAUGCCACAAUGAACAGAGCAUUAAUCGACAUCCAAACGUGGUUAAUCGAACUUUACCGGGAAAGGUGUGUUGUGCCGGUGUCGAUGCUGGAUCCUGACAUAGAUGUACCUUUAGAACGGAUCUAUGUUCCCCCGUCGAUCAAGGAACUUAAGAGAGGCCGGAAAGACAGACCUGGCAGGGGUGAGAUGGACACGACUUCACGGGCGGAACCAGAUGUGAGUUGCUACAGAGAGCUGCUGCAUCGUUAUGGGGAUCCGGUGAAUACCAUUUAUAUCCAAGGCGAUCCAGGUUGCGGAAAAACGACGUUUUCAACAAAGCUGGUUCUAGAUUGGUGUAAAGCCCAUUCUAAAAAUGGUGCAAGCUGUUUGGAAACGCUCACGAGAACAGCCACUACCACAGGUAAGACGUCAAACCCAACAUAUUUCAGCGAUCUUGACACUUUGAGAGACUACACAUUUCUCUUUUUUGUGUCAUUACGUGACUACAGUGGAACCAUGUGUAACGUCAGUCAGAUGGUCGAGGAUGCCAUAAAAAGCAUCAAACUACCUUGGGAUGACUCUGUCUGGGAACAUAAAUGUAUUGUUCUGACAGACGCUGCAGACGAAUGGUACCACCCCGAAAUAGCCUUUCCUCCGCCACGCGACUCUGCGUGCAAUUGUCAUAAAUAUCGAAGUAUGCCGCAGUAUUUACAGCGAAACAACAUAUCCAACAUUAUCACUGCACGCCCAUGGAAACUUGCCAACCUAAUCAUGAGUGAUACUUUAACGCGUUUGUUCGAAAUUUCCGGCGUUACAAACUACACAACCUUGGCGGAAAAUGUCAUUACUGUUUUAGCUGAGAAGGACGGUAUUUCUAAAAAUGAUCAACAAUGCAAAUGC